GAUGAACGCUAGCGGCAGGCUUAACACAUGCAAGUCGAGGGGUAUAGUUCUUCGGAAUUAGAGACCGGCGCACGGGUGCGUAACGCGUAUGCAAUCUACCUUUCACAGAGGGAUAGCCCCAGAGAAAUUUGGAUUAAUACCUCAUAGUAUAGCAGUUUCGCAUGAAACCACUAUUAAAGUCACAACGGUGAAAGAUGAGCAUGCGUCCCAUUAGCUAGUUGGUAAGGUAACGGCUUACCAAGGCAACGAUGGGUAGGGGUCCUGAGAGGGAGAUCCCCCACACUGGUACUGAGACACGGACCAGACUCCUACGGGAGGCAGCAGUGAGGAAUAUUGGACAAUGGGCGCAAGCCUGAUCCAGCCAUGCCGCGUGCAGGAUGACGGUCCUAUGGAUUGUAAACUGCUUUAUACAGGAAGAAACACUACUUCGUGAAGUAGCUUGACGGUACUGUAAGAAUAAGGAUCGGCUAACUCCGUGCCAGCAGCCGG
This 489-nucleotide ribosomal RNA is filed under the name uncultured bacterium. RNAcentral describes it as "bacterial SSU rRNA". It matches the Rfam family "Bacterial small subunit ribosomal RNA", at positions 28 to 518 of the family's 1533-position model. The record is from RNAcentral.